Molecule: microRNA precursor, 67 nt
Filed under: Cavia porcellus (domestic guinea pig)
Lineage: Eukaryota; Metazoa; Chordata; Mammalia; Rodentia; Caviidae
Description: let-7e stem-loop (cpo-let-7e)
Gene: cpo-let-7e
Source: miRBase by way of RNAcentral
UGAGGUAGGAGGUUGUAUAGUUGAGAAGGACACCCAAGGAGAUCACUAUACGGCCUCCUAGCUUUCC